UUAUUCAAAUUUGAAAAACGUUCCGUUACAACUCAAUCGUUAAGAGACGUUUGGGUAAACGACAAGAAAGAAGACGAGAGAUAUUUUGUGUUAUUAAUUUAUUUUCGAUUAGGAAAUUGUUCCGAGGAGAAAUGGAAGAAAAGUUCUAGGCCAUUCAAAGUAUAAAGUUAUUAACGUGCAAUAUGAAAAGAAUUGAAGACCUAUAAAUACCAACUGUCGUCCGUCAAUUCUUUCUUAAUAUCCAGAACGGAGUUAGAUGAAAGACGAGAGCAGAUAUGGAAUCCUUAGAAGCAGGAGGUUGCCUCUAAGGAUUACUUGUAUAUGAAAUUCCGCUGCAAACCGGAAGUUACGCUAUUUUGAUUCAAAAGUUUUCCCCCGAAAGCAGUUAUAGACGAUCGGCACGACUCUAUUGUUAAAAGAAAAGAAUGAUGUACGGGGGCACUGCUAAUUGCAGGUUUAAACAAUCAGAAGUCAAGAAAUGGGAAGUAUCGAUGUGGCAGUUGCGAAAAAGAAUUCGUUUCGAAAAAUGGGUUAAAAUAUCAUCGAAGGAUUCACACUGGAGAGAAACUCUUUGCCUGUGAUCACUGCAAACAACGUUUUACACUAAAAAGAAACCUGAUUCUACAUCUUCGAACUCACACGGGAGAGAAACCAUUCUCUUGUGACCAUUGCAAACGACGUUUUACGCAAAAACAUCGUCUGAUAGAACAUCUUCGUCUUCACACCGGAGAGAAACCAUUCUCGUGUGAUCAUUGCUUACAAAAAUUUCGUGUUAAAGCUUAUUUAAAGUAUCAUAUUAUUAAACAUCAUAAUAGUAAUGAAUAAUGACUUUUGUGGAAAUGAUUUUAGUACAUUUCUUUGAAAAAUAUGUAAUACUCGUAUUUUAGAUUUUAUUGAACAUGAAACAAGAAAUUUCUAAAGUUUGAUUUUUUUCGUUUUGUAACUUUCAU
Molecule: long non-coding RNA, 950 nt
Filed under: Centruroides sculpturatus (bark scorpion)
Lineage: Eukaryota; Metazoa; Arthropoda; Arachnida; Scorpiones; Buthidae
Description: uncharacterized LOC111632596, transcript variant X1
Source: RNAcentral